ACACUUAUUUGGCAGCACAUAUACUAAAAUUGGAAUGAUACAGAGAAGAUUGGCAUGGCCCCUCAUCAUGACAUGCAAAUUUGCGAAACAUUCCUUAUUUUU
Small nuclear RNA from Sciurus vulgaris (Eurasian red squirrel), 102 nucleotides. NCBI's taxonomy places the organism in Eukaryota, Metazoa, Chordata, Mammalia, Rodentia, Sciuridae. The record is from Ensembl.